Molecule: long non-coding RNA, 1042 nt
Organism: Oncorhynchus tshawytscha (Chinook salmon)
Lineage: Eukaryota; Metazoa; Chordata; Actinopteri; Salmoniformes; Salmonidae
Source: Ensembl
CUUUAAUCUCAAGGACGACGUGCAAUGGACCUGAGCCCUAGGACCAUGCCUCAGAACUACCUGGCAUGAUGACUCCUUGCUGUCCCCAGUCCACCUGGCUGUGCUGCCUGGCCGUGCUGUCCAUCGAAUGGACUCAAGCUUCUGACUGAGCUCAAUUACACACAAAUACAGCAAUGAGUUUCUCUCUCUUGAUGUAAUACAAACUUUGAGAAAUAACAAGGAGCACCCACAAUGUGUUUUGUGUAAAGAAGUGCUUUGUAAUGAGUCUCUCAAAACAAACAAAUUAAAAUGACAUGUCCUGACCAAACAUCCACAGCAUAACGGUAAACCCAGGGAGUUAUUUCAGAACAGGGAAGAAUGCUUCAGGAAACAGGGAUUCAGGAAACAGGGCAUCAUGAAACAGUGCUUCAGGAAACAGUGCUUCAGGAAACAGUGCUUCCACAGUGGACAAGUAAGACCUGAGCCCUAGGACCAUGCUUCAGGACUACCUGGCCUGAUGACUCCACCUGGUCUUGCUCCAGUUUCAACUGUUCUGCCUGCGGCUAUGGAACCCUGACCUGUUCACUGGAUGUGCUACCGUGUCCCAGACCUGCUGUUUUCUACCGCACCUGCUGUCUCGAACUCUGAAUGCUCGGCUAUAAAAAGCCAACUGACAUUUACUCCUGAGGUGCUGGCCUUUUGCACCCUCUACAACCACUGUGAUUAUUAUUAUUUGACCCUGCUGGUUGACUAUGAACAUUUGAAAAGCUUGGCCAUGUACUGUUAUAAUCUUCACCCGGCAGUCAGAAGAGGACUGGCCACCCCUCAGAGCCUGGUUCCUCUCUAGGUCCAUGCCUUUCUAAGGAGUUUUUCCCAGCCACAAUGCUUCGACAUCUGCAUUGCUUGCUGUUUGUGGUUUUAGGCUGGGUUUCUGUAAAGAACAUUCUGACAUCUGCUGAUGUAAAAAGAGCUUUAUAAAUACAUUUGAUUGAUUGAUUAUCAACUUUUCCCCCCUUCUCGAUUUCCAUGCUACUCAUCAGAACAAUUGAUCAGUAUGAUAAGG